AGAUACCCCUGUAGUCCCAGCCGUAAACUAUGCUCGCUAGGUGUCAGGCAUGGCGNGACCCGUGUCUGGUGCCGCAGGGAAGCCGUGAAGCGAGCCACCUGGGAAGUACGGCCGCAAGGCUGAAACUUAAAGGAAUUGGCGGGGAGCACCACAACGGGUGGAGCCUGCGGUUUAAUUGGACUCAACGCCGGGAAGCUCACCGGAUAAGACAGCGGAAUGAUUGCCGGGCUGAAGACUCUGCAUGACUAGCUG
Molecule: ribosomal RNA, 252 nt
Filed under: uncultured archaeon
Lineage: Archaea
Description: partial 16S ribosomal RNA
Rfam family: Archaeal small subunit ribosomal RNA
Source: RNAcentral